UACGUAGGGUCCGAGCGUUGUCCGGAAUUACUGGGCGUAAAGAGCUCGUAGGUGGUUUGUCGCGUUGUUCGUGAAAACUCACAGCUUAACUGUGGGCGUGCGGGCGAUACGGGCAGACUUGAGUACUGCAGGGGAGACUGGAAUUCCUGGUGUAGCGGUGGAAUGCGCAGAUAUCAGGAGGAACACCGGUGGCGAAGGCGGGUCUCUGGGCCGGAACUGACGCUGAGGAGCGAAAGCGUGGGGAGCGAACAGG
Molecule: ribosomal RNA, 253 nt
Filed under: uncultured bacterium
Lineage: Bacteria
Description: partial 16S ribosomal RNA
Rfam family: Bacterial small subunit ribosomal RNA
Source: RNAcentral